RNA transcript from Nomascus leucogenys (northern white-cheeked gibbon), 556 nucleotides. It is a transcript of the gene named 60S ribosomal protein L36 pseudogene, with no coding region annotated. The transcript has a single exon. Lineage: Eukaryota; Metazoa; Chordata; Mammalia; Primates; Hylobatidae. The record is from RefSeq and is a predicted model, not a curated record.
UCACUGACCUAUCAUUAAAAUGCACCAAGCAAUUGCAAACAUUCUUAAAUCAAAUUAGAAGAGGGGGCACUAAGUAAAGAAAUAGAAGAUAUAACAAAGAACCAAAUAGAAAAAACUAGAAAUGAAAAUUCAACAAGUAAAUUUUUAAAAAUUACUGGAGCCUUCUGCCACGGCCGCCUCUGGAGAGCAGCAGCCAUGGCUCUACGCUACCCUACGGCUGUGGGCCUCAACAAGGGCCACGAGGUGACCAAGAACCUGAGCAAGCCCAGGCACAGCCGCCGCCGCGGGCGUCUGACCAAACACACCAAGUUCGUGCGGGACAUGAUUCGGGAGGUGUGUGGCUUUGCCCCGUAGGAGCAGCGCGCCAUGGAGUUACUGAAGGUCUCCAAGGCCAAACGGGCCCUCAAGUUUAUCAAGAAAAGGGUGGGGACACACAUCCGCGCCAAGAGGAAGCGGGAGGAGCUGGGCAACGUACUGGCCGCCACGAGGAAAGCUGCUGCCAAGAAAGACUUAGCCCCUCCCCUGCCCUCUCCCUGAAAUGAAGAACAGCUUGACA